AACGUAGGACACAAGCGUUAUCCGGAGUUACUGGGCGUAAAGGGCGCGUAGGCGGUCUUGCAAGUCCCGUGUGAAAUCCCUCGGCUCAACUGAGGAACUGCCUUUGAAACUGUCUGGCUUGAGGCCGGUAGAGGGUAGUGGAAUUCCCAGUGUAGCGGUGAAAUGCGUAGAUACUGGGAGGAACACCGGUGGCGAAGGCGGCUACCUGGACCGGUACUGACGCUGAGGCGCGAAAGCGUGGGUAGCAAACAGG
This 253-nucleotide ribosomal RNA is filed under the name uncultured bacterium. RNAcentral's name for it is "partial 16S ribosomal RNA". It matches the Rfam family "Bacterial small subunit ribosomal RNA", at positions 524 to 776 of the family's 1533-position model. The record is from RNAcentral.